Molecule: unclassified non-coding RNA, 249 nt
Filed under: Hevea brasiliensis (rubber tree)
Lineage: Eukaryota; Viridiplantae; Streptophyta; Magnoliopsida; Malpighiales; Euphorbiaceae
Source: RNAcentral
CUUUAGAGCAGUACAUUCAAAAGGAUAAAAGGUGGGCAAAAAUUGAAGGGAAACAAUGGUGCGCCAAACCUACACUUUCAAUAUUACUAUUGAUUCAAAAGGUAACAUAAUCUCUGAUAAACAAUUCUCCUUUCACAAAUGAUCCCUAUGGAUAUUUUAUUCUCACAGUAAGCCAAAUUGUUUAAUUGACUGAUCAGUGAAGUUCAAACGUAGCAUUGUAAAUACGGGUUUAGACAAUGAAAAACAAGG